CCUACGGGAGGCAGCAGCCGCGGUAAUGUUGGACAAUGGGCGCAAGCCUGAUCCAGCCAUGCCGCGUGUGUGAAGAAGGCCUUAUGGUUGUAAAGCACUUUAAGCGAGGAGGAGGCUACUUUAGUUAAUACCUAGAGAUAGUGGACGUUACUCGCAGAAUAAGCUCCGGCUAACUCUGUGCCAGCAGCCGCGGUAAU
RNAcentral lists this ribosomal RNA (197 nucleotides) under uncultured Acinetobacter sp. Its description in RNAcentral is "partial 16S ribosomal RNA". It matches the Rfam family "Bacterial small subunit ribosomal RNA", at positions 338 to 524 of the family's 1533-position model. Lineage: Bacteria; Pseudomonadati; Pseudomonadota; Gammaproteobacteria; Moraxellales; Moraxellaceae. The record is from RNAcentral.